UGAGGAAUAUUGGUCAAUGGGCGCGAGCCUGAACCAGCCAAGUAGCGUGCAGGAUGACGGCCCUAUGGGUUGUAAACUGCUUUUGUAUGGGGAUAAAGUCAAUCACGUGUGAUUGUUUGCAGGUACCAUACGAAUAAGGACCGGCUAAUUCCGUGCCAGCAGCCGCGGUAAUACGGAAGGUCCAGGCGUUAUCCGGAUUUAUUGGGUUUAAAGGGAGCGUAGGCUGGAGAUUAAGUGUGUUGUGAAAUGUAGACGCUCAACGUCUGAAUUGCAGCGCAUACUGGUUUCCUUGAGUACGCACAACGUUGGCGGAAUUCGUCGUGUAGCGGUGAAAUGCUUAGAUAUGACGAAGAACUCCGAUUGCGAAGGCAGCUGACGGGAGCGCAACUGACGCUUAAGCUCGAAGGUGCGGGUAUCAAACAGGAUUAGAUACCCUGGUAGUCCGCACAGUAAACGAUGGAUGCCCGCUGUUGGUACCUGGUAUCAGCGGCUAAGCGAAAGCAUUAAGCAUCCCACCUGGGGAGUACGCCGGCAACGGUG
Molecule: ribosomal RNA, 540 nt
Filed under: uncultured bacterium
Lineage: Bacteria
Description: bacterial SSU rRNA
Rfam family: Bacterial small subunit ribosomal RNA
Source: RNAcentral